Molecule: ribosomal RNA, 604 nt
Filed under: Staphylococcus aureus
Lineage: Bacteria; Bacillati; Bacillota; Bacilli; Caryophanales; Staphylococcaceae
Description: partial 23S ribosomal RNA
Rfam family: Bacterial large subunit ribosomal RNA
Source: RNAcentral
UCGUUGAUUUCACACUGCCGAGAAAAGCCUCUAGAUAGAAAAUAGGUGCCCGUACCGCAAACCGACACAGGUAGUCAAGAUGAGAAUUCUAAGGUGAGCGAGCGAACUCUCGUUAAGGAACUCGGCAAAAUGACCCCGUAACUUCGGGAGAAGGGGUGCUCUUUAGGGUUAACGCCCAGAAGAGCCGCAGUGAAUAGGCCCAAGCGACUGUUUAUCAAAAACACAGGUCUCUGCUAAACCGUAAGGUGAUGUAUAGGGGCUGACGCCUGCCCGGUGCUGGAAGGUUAAGAGGAGUGGUUAGCUUCUGCGAAGCUACGAAUCGAAGCCCCAGUAAACGGCGGCCGUAACUAUAACGGUCCUAAGGUAGCGAAAUUCCUUGUCGGGUAAGUUCCGACCCGCACGAAAGGCGUAACGAUUUGGGCACUGUCUCAACGAGAGACUCGGUGAAAUCAUAGUACCUGUGAAGAUGCAGGUUACCCGCGACAGGACGGAAAGACCCCGUGGAGCUUUACUGUAGCCUGAUAUUGAAAUUCGGCACAGCUUGUACAGGAUAGGUAGGAGCCUUUGAAACGUGAGCGCUAGCUUACGUGGAGGCGCUGGUGGG